UCUAGAAUAAUUACAUUUUCCUCCCCUUCAAAUCAACUGUUUCCUUAAGGUUGUGUUUGAGAUAAGGAUCAUAGAAACCGACUACGGAUAAAACUCCAAUCAUCCUGGUGGCCACGUCGGUGUUGAGAUUAUUCCAGUGCACAUAAACUUGCACCAUAAUAGUGUUAUUACACUUGAUGUUGUGACGAAAAAGAAUAGACAAAGGUUAUGUGACCAUCAGAGUCGCAAGCCUAAGGAACUUGAUUGGAAGUGAUAUCAAGUCUAAUGCGACAUUUGAGCUAGGAUACCUAAAACACAAGGUGGAUCGGUGACCCCUGAGGAAGCUCUAAAUAGUGAGCCACUUCCACUAUAUUCUCUAGCAUUACAUAUAUUCUGUAAUACUUAGCGCUUAGCGUAGGCUUUUGCCUCACCUUCAUUGAUGACUGUUGAUAAGGCUGUAACUUUAGGUAAACCUUAUCCCCUACUUGCAAGGUCCUUUUCGUCCUAUUUUUGCCAGCGUAAAACUUCAUUCUUGCUUGAGCUAGCUACAAAUUCUACUUAAGAUGCUACAAAAUCUACCGUCGUUAAGGUGCAGAUGCUUCAGCCUAAUUAUGAGGCAAAUGCCUUAGCGAACACAUACGAAUUUGUGGUGGAGCGAAGCCAUAAAAGACUUCAAAAGGAGUAGCCUUUAAGGUUGUAUGGUAUUUCAUAUUGUACCAAAACUCUACUAGGUGUAGCCAUUUGGACCACUAUUUAGGUUGGUCAAACACUAUGGCCCUGAGGUAAGUCUCUACAUAUUUGUUGAGACGUUCAGUUUGACCAUCUGAUUGUGGAUGGUAAGCUAGACGUGUUUAUCUUGGUCUUGAGUGUAGUAAACAAUUGUUUCCAAAAUAGGCUUGUAAAAAUGGAAUCUCCAUCUACAACUAUAGAUUUAGGUAGCCUAUGUAGCCUAUAAAUUUCCUUUAAAAAUACUUCAGCUAUAGCCUGAGUAGUGUAAGGGUGCUUCAAUGUGAUGAAAUGACCAUGCUUGGUCAGCCUAUCCACUGCCACCAAAAUGGAAUUUUUAUGGUUGGAUAUAGGUAACCCAUCUAUAAAUUCUAUUCCAAUGUCCUUCCAUAGUGUUUUAGGAAUUGGAAGAGGUUGUAGAAGACCUGGAUAGUGGACAUUCUCAUAUUUGAUCUUUUGACAGAUGUCACCUCACUCAUCCACUAAAAAAUGUUCUUUUCCAUGUUAGGCCAGUAGAAUAGCAUUUUAAUCCUCCUAUAAGUGGCUUAUUGACCUGAAUGCCUACCCAAUGGAGAAGGGUGCGGUGCUUCCCAAGUCUUGCUCCUUAAAUCAGUUCCUUUUCCAAUAUAAAUCUUCUAAUUAUGUAUGAUAACUCCCUAAUGUGGGGUAUACUUACCCAAAUUAGUGGGAGUGGUAACCAGUGUUGUGACCAACUGUAAGACAGCUUUAUUAUGCUCAUAACUCACAGUCACUUCCUUUAUCCAAGUGGAUUCUAAUAUAGUCAUAGAAGACAUGUGAGCCUCACCUUUCACCUUCCUAGACAAAGAAUCUGCUACUCUAUUUUCUAUGCCUUCCUUGUAUUGUACCUCAUAAUCCAGUUCUAGUAUCUUAGUCAAUCCUUUUUGCUGCAAAGUAGUGGUGAGCUUUUGUUAUAAUAAGUAAGACUGUGAUGGUCAGUUCUAGUAAUAAAAUUCCCUACCAAUAGGUUAUGUCUCUGUCUCUCUAUUGUAGAUAAAAUUGCUAAGUAUUCUUUCUCAUUUGUAGACAACCGCCAAUGUUUAGAGCUAUAACUUUGCUAAAAUAUGCUAUAGGUAUACUUUCUUGCAUUAACACUACUCUUAUUCCUAUAUCACAAGCAUCGGUCUCCACUAUGAAAGCCAUAGAUAAAUUAACUAAAGCCAGUACAAGGGCAGUGAUCAUUGCUUGUUUUAACUCUUCAAAGGUACUAUCAGCUUCUGAGCUCCAAAUGAAAGAAUUCUUCUUUAAUAAGGCAGUGAGGGGCUUACUAAUCCACCCAUAGUUCUUGAGAAACCUCCUAUAGUAUCUUGUAAGUCCCAAAAACUCCCUUAAUACCAAAGGGUUUUUGGAACUGGCUAAAAUACAUUGUUUCAAUCUUGGUAGGGUCUGUUUUAACUCCUUUACUGGUGAUUAUGUGACCAAGGUCUUCCACCUUGUUCUAACCAAAGGCAUACUUAGAUUUCUUAGCAUAAAGUUGUUCCUUGCUAAAAAUUUGUAGUAUCUUCCUUAAGUGUUCACCAUACUCGUGUAUAAUACUACUAUAGACAAAAAUGUCAUAAAAAAGACUAGAAAAAAGUGUUUUAAGUAAUCCCAGAAAAUGAUAAGAGGCUAUUUCUCCUGAAACAUAGUUCAUCAGGCUUUACAAGGUGUUUGGGGAAUUAGUCAAGCCAAAAGGCAUGACUUUAAACUCAUAAUUCCCCAAAUGCGUUCUAAAGGCAGUCUUGUAGAUAUCAAUACUAUUUAUCCUUUUGGUGGUAGCUUGCCUUAGAUCAAUCUUGGAAAAUACUAAAUCCCCAUACAAUUCAUCCAACAAAUCAUCCACCAAUGGAAUAAUAAAUUUAUCCUUAAUGGUCAUAUUGUUUAAUUCUCUAAAAUCCACACAAAACCUCCAUGUACCAUGCUUCUUUUUUACCGAUAACACCGGCAUAAGAAGGGAGAAUGACUAUCUUGGAUAUUUUAUUUGUUUUCAAUAUAUUUUUUCUAAAAACCAAUUGUACCUAUAUGGUCUAAUACUAACAAAUACUGUUUCAGGUUUUAAUGGAAUGAAAUAGUCAUGUUGCCUCUGUGGUAGUAGGGUACUGGGAUCUUGAAACACAUUCUCAAAUUCCUCCAGCUUUGAAUUUAAACUCAGGGGUAAAUUUUAUUGUUCUCUUCCAUCAAAUGAUGUCUUGGUAAAGAGAUGACCCAUAUUGACUUUCUUUUUUAAGUAGUUGUCUCACACUAUUGGUUAACAUGCUCUGCAGAUUGGGUUUAUGGUAAAUACUUUGUUCCUCACCUUAUUACCUUGGUGUGUGGCCCGAGCCUCAUAUGCUACAAAAUCCAUUACAUUUAGAUUAUGACUCUACAUCUAGUCACCUUCUAAAAUUAUAUCACAGGCUUCUAAUUUCACAAGUUUAAUGGAGUCUGUCAACUCUAUUCCUUGGAUUUUCCACCUGAACUUGGGACAAAAAUGGUGCCUCAUUAGUAGUUUUCCAUUUGCAACUAUGACUCUCAUAGGAUUAACUUCCUUAAUAGUGCAUGCCAUCUCUUUAGCUACAGUCAGGUCUAGGAAACUAUGGGUGCUACCUGAAUCUAAGAGAAUAAUUAACUCUUUCUUUCCCACCUCUCCUUUCAGCAUGAUAGUGCUUGAAACUUCAACAUUUGAUAGUGCAUAGGCUUCCUCAACUAGCAUUUCUUCAGUAAACUUUUAUAUUAACUCUGUUUCUUUUAUUACAGGUUCUUCAGUUUCAUUUUCCUGAUCUUCACAACCUAUUAAGGCAUUUAGUUAUUUAUUCUUGCAUUGAUGACCAUAAUGGUAUCUGCACUUGAAACAUAAACCUUAGGCUUUCCUUGACUUGAAUAGUUUAUUGUUGGUUUAGUUUAAUCGUCUUUGACCUUUCUUAACCCCAUUGGUGCUCUUCUUGUUGGUGAAGGUUAUAGGAUUUGUAUUAACUAAUCUACUCCACUACACUCUACUCUUUCUAUUGGCCAUCUCUAUCACCUUCUCCCGAUGCCUUGCCUUAUUCAAUGCUUGGCUCAAGGUAAACAAUGCAAGUAUCUUUACAAUAUGCUUAAUUUCCUCCUUUAAUCCUUCAAUGAAAAAAUCCAAGAAAAAUUCUUCAGGUAUAGUAGGAUUGCAGAUCAAAACCCAAGAUUUCAAAUCCUCAAACCUUUCCGAAUACUCAUCAACACUCCUUUUUUGUUCGACCUUCUUAAAUUCUCUCAACAAAUUCAAUACACUAUUGUUAGUGCCUGCAAACCUUCUAUAAAUUACCUCUAUGAACUGCGCCCAAUUAACUGCUCCUCUACUAAGAUGACAAGAGAAAUAUCAUGACGCUGCCCUUCCACUAAGAUGUAAAACAGCAACUUUCAAUUCCUCUUUUGGAUUCACAAUGUGAUUAUACUGAAAAUAACUCACAUUUUCUCAACCACGCUUGAGGAUCACCUUCUUCAAAAUAUGAAAAUUCAAUUUUGUUGUGGAAUGAAUUCACUUGACUUUGUCUUCCUGCAGAUACUCCAUUAUUGUUCGUAUCACGACUACCACUCAAAGCCCCAUCUUGAAGAUUAGUUGUUGCACCCAAAAUUCCAUCCUUCACCGGAGCCAAUCUCUCCAUGAACAUAUCCAACUUUCGACCUAGGUCAUUAAUACCAAACACAUAAACAGAAGUGAAAAAACAGGGACAAAUCAAAUUUGAUUUACAAUCAAACAGGCCUUUAUGGAGACGGAGCCAAUGUUGUGACUGUAAAUGUAAAUGCAAAUAAACCUCAAGUUUCAAAUCAAAUCAAUAUUAUUUUUUUUUGUUUAACUUUUUUUUUAAAUUUCUUUUUAUUCUUAAUCAAUAUUGCUCUUUGAUCAUUUUUUUUUUGUUUGGUUCGAAAUUAUCUUGACUGACUCUUCCAUUUGUUUUUUUUUUCCUGUCUCAACGCCAGCAAAUGAUAUUUGAUUAAGAAUUUUAAAAAAUGGAUAAGACAAAUUUCAAAAAAAUAAAUAAAUAAAAUUAUACCCCAAGGCUUACCAAACCGAAGGACAAAUUAUCCAAGCACCUCUACUAGUAUGAUACCUUCUCUAGUGUGCUAACCUUAGGCAUGUUUAAUGAACCUUUGGAUAAGUUAACUGAUCUACUUAGCAGUAAAUCCAUAGUAUUAGUGUUCGGGCUAUUAUACAAAAAUGUAAUUAUUAUUUUCACUUAACAUAUUGUUCUUCAAAAAAGUUAAUUAUUUUGAUCAAUUGUAUGAUUAACUGAAUUGGACUCCCCAAUUGUGUAAUCCAUGUACUGUGACAUCUCAUCUUGUCCUAAAGUUUAAAAACAAUAAAAAUAUGUUUUAACUUAAAAUGGUUCCGAAACACCAACAGGCUAAGUGAUUCUUGAGCAAAAAUAAACCAAAAAAAGAUUUAUAUAGGCGAUACCGAUUAGUUUUUAGGGGUGGUCGCAAUCAACAAUCCACCUUUUUUUGUCAUAAAGGAAACCAAAAUAGGUUUAAAGAUCGAUCCCAGCCUAGAUCCAAAGGGGGGCUUAACAGCUUGAACUUCUCUCGUUGGAACAAGGCUGCAUUAUACAAAGCUGUUAUGCGCAAUUGCAAAGAAUAAGGACAAGCUUUGGGUCUGAUGGAUCCAUAGCUUCUACAUCAAAGGAAAACUAUAGGAUUCUGCCGAAUCCCCUAAGGGAGCGAGUUGGCUAGUGAGGGAGAUAUUUGAUACAAGAGGAUGAACUGGACAGAUGUUCCGCUAACUCCGGCUUUAGCAUCAAGAAGGCCUACAGUUCUUUUAUCCCUCAAUCGCAAAAGAUUCCAUGGAAGAAGCUAUUAAUGGUGAGAGGAUUGGUUCCUAUACAUCACUUCAUUCUAGCUUUGCAUAGAAGAUUGUCAACUGUCGAUAGGUUGGUAAAAUGGGGCAUUAAAGUGGACAAAUAGUGCGUUUUAUGUACAGUGGAUGUUGAGGGAACUCUCUCCCAUUUACUCUUUGAGAGCUCCUCUAUUUGACAGACUCUAUUUGGCACAGAUCACUCAGUAGAUGGAUAGGAAUGAGAACAGGCUCGUAAGAUCAUGGGAGGAAGAAAUCGCAUGGCUAUCGCAAAUGGUCAACGAUUGCAAUCCACUAAGGACCAUUCUGCAUGGAGCGUAAUGGUCGCAGGUUCCAACAGAGGCAUCGGGAUAGUGAAAUCAUGAUCAAGGACAUUGCACUUAAUGUGCACUUAGUGGGACACAGACAAUACAAAUGGAGAAAGGUUUUGCAUAACAUGUUAGGCUAUCCUUGAGUCUAUAUUGCUUUCAGAUGGAGCAGAGUAGCAUAGCAUAAAGUUUAUAGUGGUCUGUCUUUGAUCUAGUCCUGAAUCCAAAGGACUAGCAGGUGUGAAUAUGCUUACAUGGUAAAUAGAAAAAAAUCAUUUAACCAAAAAAAGAAAUUCCA
Molecule: long non-coding RNA, 6109 nt
Filed under: Capsicum annuum
Lineage: Eukaryota; Viridiplantae; Streptophyta; Magnoliopsida; Solanales; Solanaceae
Description: long non-coding RNA (CANN_LNC022270)
Source: RNAcentral